Small nuclear RNA from Ailuropoda melanoleuca (giant panda), 107 nucleotides. The record is from Ensembl. NCBI's taxonomy places the organism in Eukaryota, Metazoa, Chordata, Mammalia, Carnivora, Ursidae.
GUGCUUGCUUCGGCAGCACAUAUACUAAAAUUGGAACGAUACGAGGAAGAGUAACAUGACCCCUGUGCAAGGAUGGCACGCAAAUUCAUGAAGCGUUCCCUAUUUUU